Benincasa hispida (wax gourd) is the source of this 6304-nucleotide non-coding RNA. The record is from RefSeq and is a predicted model, not a curated record. Lineage: Eukaryota; Viridiplantae; Streptophyta; Magnoliopsida; Cucurbitales; Cucurbitaceae.
AAGCCUUCUCUUUAAAUAUAACUCCUUAGUUAGCUCAGUUUGAGCAAAACGUUUCUUCGAAAUCGAAGCAAAAACAGAGAUCGUCUAUAUUGACAAUGGUGUCGACGGCGAAGGCACCGGCGAACAGUACGACGGUGGCUGGCGUCGGCGAUACGUCUCUGGUGGAGGCUCUGCCUCAGGAUAUUCUGAUUAGGGUUAUUUGCAAUGUGGAACAUGAUGAUUUGAAACAGCUAAUCCGCGUUUCCAAAACAAUUAGCGAAGCGACUUUGAUUGCAAAACAAUUUCAUUUUUCUUAUUGCACUCCAUCCUCAAAGAAAUUCGUCAACUCCAUCGAUUUAAAAAAUGCUCCUUCCAGAAGGCGAUUCAGAACUCGAUUACACAGAAAGUUGCUGGCGCAGAUUUCGGUAGCCUUAUUUGCCGAAGAAGAUUAGUGGCCACUGAGACAGAUGUGAAUUUAACAACCUGUAUUUAGAUAUUUAGAACAACUGCGCAACAACCCUUAGAAGUAAAUAUCUUAUAGUAGAUAUACUGAUAAUUGUUUGAUCUCUUUUCACUCUUGCUAAUCAGAUAUAAGAAAGGCCAGGAUGUGGCAUUUGUAACUACUUGCAGUCUGCAAAUAUAAUGUCCUCUCCUUCACUUUGAGGAUCUCACAGUUAUACUGUCAACACUUCUCCCAGUUGUGUGCAUUAAUAAAGAAAGCAAAGAGUCUUAUCUCUCAACAGGAUUAAAGGUAUGACCCGCAACUAUGCACGUUUUCUUGACCAAAAAUAUAUUUUCAUUGAGAAAUGAACACAAAUAAAGGUUCAGGAUUCAAACUCUCAAGGGUGAGAAAAAAAAAAAAAAAACAAACAACUAGCUCAACAAGGAGAAAAACAACCAGAUUAAUUAAGAAUGAACAUGAAGAAAACCAGAUUCAACCACAACAACAACAACAACAACACAAAAAAAAAGAGAGAUAGAGAGAACAGGAAGAGGGUGGAUAACGGACUACGUUUUCCUGUUUUUGGAAUGUUGUAAUUUAAAUUAUAAGACUUCACUUUCUAUUGACUGGGGAAUAGUGUAGUUUAAUGCAAAUGUACAUUUGCAUAACAAUUAUUUCUAUAUUAGCUUGAGAGUAUGUAUAUUAGGUGCUAUACUUUUGAAACUUUUUGAGUUUUAAUAAGUCCUUUUAUUUCUCUCUUUACAUACUCAGAAAUGCAGAUUAAAAGAAGAGCCUUUAACUUUUGGUGCUCUUUGUGUUCUGAAGCACCUCUUGCCAAGGUUUUUUGGCCUGCUUAUAUUUAACCAACCAUUUAGUUAUUCCUUUUGGUUCCUGAUUUGACUUUCUUAUAAUAUCUAGGUCAUCCGAGGCCUGGCAAUGGUAAAAGGCCUUUAGUUACUGAAGCUGUUAAGUCGUUACUAGACGAACAAAAUCUAGGGGUUAGAAUGACACUUUCAGAGCUAUGAUGUUACACACAUUUUUUUAUCUUGUUAAGAACUUGAGAAAUGCUCUAUUUUAUUUGGUACUAAAAAUGUCUGUUACUUUGUUGUUGAUUGUGGUAAUGGCAUCACAUUUCUACCUGGUUGGUUCAUCUGGAGAGAUGUUUGUUGAGUAUCUCGUGCGCCACUUUGCCAUCAAAAUUGAUAGAAAUAGAAAUGAUCCUGGAAGCUCAAAGGAGUUAGCUGGGUUGAAUAGUGCUUUUAUUCCUUUACAGUACAAGAGAAUGGAGGUUUCUGUCCUUUCAAAAUAUUCAUUUUGGUUCUCGUACUUUCAAAAUAUUCAUUUUGGUUAUGAAUUUAUAACUUUAGUUAAUAUUGGUCCUGUACUUUGAAGAAAUGACCAUUUGGCCCCUUUAGUUGCAUGAGAUGUUACCUUUAUUUAUCUGAUGUUUUCACUACAGUCACUGUUCUUUGAUUUGCUAUGAUAGUCUUGAAUAUCACAUUAGAGAAGAGCUAAAUAGAACAGCUGCUGCACGAACAAUGGUUGGAAAAAUUAAUCAAUAUUGGAUCUCGAUGCCAAGUAAUGUUGCCUGAAGCUCAAGCAGAUGAGGCAUCGGGGCCUUUGAUAAGCUGCCCAACAAUUCAGCAAGAAGCAUUUUAUCUUAUCAAAUCAUAUUAUGGUGUUUUACAGGAGGAGAAGGGUUAAAAAUUUCCUUGUGAUUUGUUUUGAGGAGUUCAAAUUGUUGGUUUAUUUUCUUUCUGGAUGGCUUGUGGUGUAUUAUUUUUUGCCUAAAUGACUUGUGUUUCCUUCCUUGAUAUUGUGCACUUGGUUUUGAAAAACUUUCUUUAGCAAUACUUGUACAUGGAAGUAUUAGACUCCUAUUUUUCCUGCUUCGUUGGGUAUUUUCUGUGUGCUACUUGGAUAAUCUAAUAGUCAUCUCACGUAAAUUAUUAACGGAUCAUGGGUCAGUUUGUGGUUUAUUAAGUUCAUGACGUUUUUAUUUUUUGCAUCUAUAGGUAAUGAAGAAAUAUUAUUGAGAAUGUGUGCCAGCAAGAUCAAUUUUAAUUUUUUUUUUAAAUUUUUUCAAUAAAUAAACCAUGACAGACAUUUAAUGUCGAUUAUUGAUCAACUUCAAAGAUGGACCAACAUCGAAAAAGAUGUCACUAAAGGUUUUCGAUGUUGGUUUUCAACUGGGCUAUAAUGUCCGUUAAAAUCUGACAUUAAAGAGCUUUAAUAACACUUUCUUUAAUGUUGCUUGGCCUAUAAUGUCGGUCUUCAUCUGACAUAAUGGCCCAGUUUUGUAAUAGUGGGCAAAAUCUUUUAACAAUUUGUAAGACCCUAGUCUUAAGAAUUGUUGAAAUUAGGGUUUUGCACUCUAGGGGCAUUUUUGUCUUUUUUAUUAUACCCUAGGGUUUCUCUUUUCUCUAUUUAAGCUGGUGGUCUGUUGUAUUUCUUUGUAACAGUUUUCUAACAAGAAUUCCUUUAUCCCGUGGUUUUUCUCUUUAAUUAAGGUUUUCCACGUAAAAUCUUGGUGUGUUAUUUUUCUUUCCCUACUCUAUUUUUCAUCAUGGUAUCAGAGCAUGGAGACGAAACCCUGGCCACCAUUGAGGAAAAUCCAAUAAGAGAAUCUCAAACCAAUAAUCCAGAUAUAACCAGUAUUAUCCAAAAAGCCAUUGAUAGGUACUUCUAAUCUCUUCUUCCCCACUUUCGUGAAGACUAGCCGCCGUCGCCCUACCAACUGCCGACCGACUCCUUCGAAGACGGAACUACCAACGACAGCAACCAGCGACCAACGACCCUGCAGCUACUCAUCUGAUUCGGUCGCGCUCAGACGAAGAUGACCAGCGACCGGUCGAACGAAGCCGAGAUCUAUCCGGUCGCUCUCAGACACAGUCGAACGAAGCCGACCAGUCCAGAUAUGCGAUGCCCAGCGUUGACCAGUCCAAAUCUGUGAUGCCCACCAUCGACCAGUCCGUGCUCAACAGUUCCCAUCUGUUGCCAUUGCCGUCGUUCUUCUCCUCUCAGAUCGGUGUCUCAUCUCAGCCAAUGCCACACCAAAAGACAGAUGGAAGAAGUGUGGGUGUUUUUCAACCUAGUAUGAGCAACCGAAUGAGGUAGUUUUCGCCGACCAUGGGUGAGUUUGGAGGGGGAGAUUCUUCAUCAUACGACCAGGAGCAAGGAAGUAUAAUCCCCAAGACCAAGUUACCUAGUUGUAGUUGCAGAUUAAACGACAGAACGAGAUGUUUCAGUAGCAGCUAGCUGCUAUUGGGGAAGCCCUAGGAUCGACAUCCAAGAUCCAACCAGAUCUAAACCCAUAUCCUGAAAACUCUAACUUCGUUCCCUACUUACCCCUCAAAUUUAUUUCUGGAGCUAUAGGCAAUUCUUCUAGCUUUAUUAUAGGAGAAAAGUUGAAUGGUGAUAAUUAUUUUUCUUGGUCCCAAUCUAUUAAAAUGGCCCUUGAGGGCCAUCACAAAUUUGGAUACCUGACAGGUGAAAUACCAAAACCAAGGAUCGGUGAUCCCCAAGAGCGAAUGUGGAAAGGAGAGGAUUCUUUGUUGAGAUCGAUUUUGAUUAGAAGUACGGAACCUCAGGUUGGAAAACCUUUAUUGUAUACAGCUACAACUCGUGAUAUUUAGGAGGCAGCCCAAAAACUCUACUCCAGGAGACAGAAGGCCUCUCAUUUAUAUACUCUAUGUAAGCAGGUCCACGAAUGCAAACAGGGAACAAUGGACGUUACUGCUUACCUUAACAAGUUGUCUCUCUUGUGGUAAGAGAUGGAUUUGUGUCGGGAAAUGAUUUGGAACUGUCCUUAUGAAGGAGUGUUACAUUAUCAGUCUGAAGAAACAGAUCGCGUGUAUGACUUUCUUGCAAGACUCAACUCUAAAUUUGAUACAGUGCGAAGUCGUAUAUUGGGGACCAGACCUAAACCAUCCCUAAUGGAAGUCUGUUCUGAAGUUUGCCUGGAGGAAGAUAGGUCGAGGGUCAUGAACAGUACACCUGUAACACCAUCAGAUUUCGCUGCUUUCAAAACUUUAGGCCUUGUCCAAGAUAAAUAGAACAGUAAGUCGCCCUCAGUGUGUGAACAUUACAAAAAAACCCGGCACACGAAAGAUCAGUACUGGAAACUUCAUGGCCGACCGCCAAAUGGUAAGAAACGACAGCCAAGCCAGGCUCUUGUAGGUGAAUCUGUUACUGGAGAUACUUAACCUCAAAAUCAGGAAACCACUCAGAGCACUACUACUACAGUGGGUGUAAGUGCAAUCGCCCAUUCAGGAUCUGAGCUCGGGGAUGACGAUUGACACUGCCCCGCAUGACAGGGGAUUUCUUUCUGACAAAUAAAUCAAAAGUUACUUCAGUUUUCCAACAAUUUUACAAUUCUAUAGAAACCCAGUUCAACGCCAAAAUCUUUAUUCUCUGGAGUGAUAAUGGUCGAGAGUACCUUAGUAACACCUUACACGAAGUCCUAGUCUCCAAAGGUGUUGUCCAUCAGAGUUCCUGUGCGUACACUCAACAAAAUGAAAUGGUCGAAUGGAAAACCCGUCACCUUGUUGAAGUUGCCCGAUCACUUAUGUUGUCAACUUCACUUCCUUCUUAUAUGUGGGGUGAUGCUAUCUUGAUAGCAGCCCAUUUAAUAAACCGCAUGCCAUCUCGGGUCCUAAAAUUCCAAACCCCCUUAGAUUUCUUCAAAGAGUCUUACCCAAACUCCAGACUUCUUGCUGAUGUACCCCUUCGUGUUUUUGGCUGUGUGGUGUUCGUCCAUACAAACGGACCUAACCGUACCAAGUUUACCUCUCGAGCACAAAAAUGCGUUUUUGUAGGAUACCCUCUACAUCAACGUGGGUACAAGUGUUGUCAUCCUCCUUCCAGAAAAUACUUUGUCUCUAUGGAUGUGACAUUCUUUGAAGAUCAUCCAUUCUUUCCCAAUGGUUCUCUUCAGGGGGAGCAUUUUAGUGAAGAAACCAAUUGGGGUCCCAGCCUUUCUACCUUACAUGAACCUGAACCCAUCCUUGAUGUCAGUAUCAGUACCAAUGCACCUAUCCUCCCAACCAAAUAAGUCCCUUGGAUCACAUACUUUAGGAAGAAUCUCAGGAAGGAAAUAGCGUCGUCUUUUAUUUCUCCAGCUCCAGUUCAUGAGUCUGAACAGAGAUCAAUUCCAGGUACUAGUAGUCCUAUCCCUGAUCAUGAUAAUAAAUGUGAUAAAACUGAUGCUUGUGUUGAAAAUGUUGAGAGAAAAAGCAAGGAAGAUAAUGACAGCAAAGAUGUGAUUGAGGUCGAUGAUGGUGCAGAGACAGAUGAUUGUGUGACUCUUGAGAACAUGGUAGAACCUGGAAAAGAAGCGUUUCUUAUUCCUGCUGAAAAAAUUGUUGAGAGUGGGAAAAUAACAGAACCGGAGGGUGAAUGUAGUAUGUUAGAAGAAAGUAAAGACAGAGAUGAAUCUCUUGAUCUUCCGCUUGCCCUAAGGAAAGGUACUAGAUCAUGUACUAAAUAUCCGUUGCAGAGUUACUUGUCCUAUAGUAAUUUGUAUCCUGAGUUCAAAGCCCUCACUACAAAGCUAGACAUAGUGGUGAUACCAAACAAUAUACACACAGCGUUGGAAAGUCCUGAAUGGAAAGUCGUAGUUAUGGAAGAAAUGAGAGCUCUCGAGAAAAAUCAUACGUAGGAUCAAGUCAAUCUUCCAAGUGGUCAUAAAGCAGUCGGAUGUAAAUGGGUGUUCACAAUAAAGUAUAGGCCCGAUGGAACAGUUGACAGAUACAAAGCCAGAUUAGUUCCAGGUGAUGGACGCAUGCGACCGUAAUGCUGUGAACUUAAUGCUUUUUUAACGCAAUCUAGUACAUUUUUAUCAAUGCAAAUCUGCAUAGUUUAAUAACUUAGCAUUGUAAUAAC